GGCUGGCAGGACCCACGUGGGCCCUGGGCCUCGGGCAGGCCCAGCCCAGGAGGACGCCGGAGGGGCUCGUUCACUUACUCGCUCGUUCGCUCGUUCAUUCUGCAGUGUCUACUGAGCCCCUCAUCUGUGUCCUGCAAGCCCCGUACCCAGUGCUGGGGACACAGCAGGGGACCAGACUCUAGACCCGAGCCCUGCCCUCAAGGACAUCCGUUCUGAUGGAGGGAGCCGGACGGAAAGCGUGAGGAAGCAGGAAAACGCGCCGUGCCACGCCUCGGCACCCGCUCCGGGCUGGACGCCGUCCCCAGCGCCGAGGCUGCAUCCAGAGGCUUGGCAGACAGGGCCCUGCUCCCGUGGACUCUGUGUCCAGGGCGUCUGGGCCCAAAGCAGCUUCUCCCCAAGGCAGAGCGGGGACCA
Molecule: long non-coding RNA, 414 nt
Filed under: Dasypus novemcinctus (nine-banded armadillo)
Lineage: Eukaryota; Metazoa; Chordata; Mammalia; Cingulata; Dasypodidae
Description: lncRNA (ENSDNOG00000052307.1)
Source: RNAcentral